This 106-nucleotide microRNA precursor is filed under the name Cicer arietinum (chickpea). RNAcentral's name for it is "mir-166 microRNA precursor family". It matches the Rfam family "mir-166 microRNA precursor family". From Rfam's summary of the family: This family represents the plant microRNA (miRNA) precursor mir-166. Animal miRNAs are transcribed as ~70nt precursors and subsequently processed by the Dicer enzyme to give a ~22nt product. Lineage: Eukaryota; Viridiplantae; Streptophyta; Magnoliopsida; Fabales; Fabaceae. The record is from Rfam by way of RNAcentral.
GUUGAGAGGAACGUUGUCUGGCUCGAGGAGAUAAAGAUGGUUGAAGAGAAUACUUUCUCAUCAUUCAUUCACUCUCAACCUCGGACCAGGCUUCAUUCCCCCCACC